GCCCACACCUUCAGGAAGUGGGGCGACUUACAGAAACGACGUGCCCCUCAGACCACACAGCAUAAGGCCAUGAGGCUGCUGGCCUGUCUUGAUAUCCGUAUACUCCUUUCGUAUCAGAUGUGAAAUCGACUGGCCAGAAUUAUGAAUGGGGAUUACCUGACGGUUGAGUUUAGAAGAAGAAAUCAGAGACACAUUUCUCCCUCCAUUAUUCUUGGGUGCAUGGAGCUCUCAGGGAUACGUGUUCCACACUACUUCUUAAGAGUCACCAGGACGAUGUACUGCUCAAUGUGGCUGGACAUCAUUCAGGAUGGAAACUAGGAUAUGGAAUGAAUUUUUAAUUUCGUUUUGUGACCGUGAUGAAAAGAAAAAGUGCAGAAUUACUGUCCUGCCAUAUAAGCUAAAAAGAAAUGGCUAAAAUAUAGGAACAUUCUAACAUUUUAACCAUGUUGGGCAACAGGCAGCAGAAAAAACAAAAACAAAAACAAAAACAAAACCCUGAUUUCUGAAAACAAAACAAAACAAACAAGGUGAGCCCCGUGAUCGUCCCAGCUUUCUGACUAGAGGAAAUGACAGAAUGAAGUGCCGUCAGGGGAAGCCAAGCAGAGAUCAGUUUUACUGAGUAGAAGAGGGAGAGAGAAGGGUAAGGAAAACUACAGCAGCUAGAAUACGCAGACCUUCUCAUGCAGGACAUGUGUAAGAGUCCU
Molecule: long non-coding RNA, 704 nt
Filed under: Felis catus (domestic cat)
Lineage: Eukaryota; Metazoa; Chordata; Mammalia; Carnivora; Felidae
Description: lncRNA (ENSFCAG00000051301.1)
Source: RNAcentral